Molecule: long non-coding RNA, 173 nt
Organism: Cotesia glomerata
Lineage: Eukaryota; Metazoa; Arthropoda; Insecta; Hymenoptera; Braconidae
Exons: 3
Source: RefSeq, a predicted model, not a curated record
UUUACGUCGAAUUUUUUUUUUUAUUUGCGCUUGACGAAUUAUUUUUUGACACUGAUAAAUCCACAAUUGAUAAUCAUAUUCAUCUGCCAUUGAAAUUUCGAUAAGUCACUUAAAUUUGAUGUUAAGAACUAGCUUCUAGCUAGGUGGAGCUAUAGUUUGACGCUCAAAGCUAG